Long non-coding RNA from Homo sapiens (human), 2790 nucleotides. Ensembl annotates it as RNF213 antisense RNA 1. Its record names the gene RNF213-AS1. The record is from Ensembl. Lineage: Eukaryota; Metazoa; Chordata; Mammalia; Primates; Hominidae.
GGAGACGCUUGCGCUUUCCCGGGCCGCACUUCCCACCCGGGUCUUCAGAAGCCCGUGGCCGCUGGGUGAGCCCCUGCGUGAACGCACACGCACGCACACGGCUUCAGGUUGCCCCGCGGCGCCGCGCGCGAUAUCGGCUCGGAUCCCGGGAGGCCGUCCGCCCCUUUUUCAGCGGAUAGCUGAGGCCAGGGUUAGUUACGUAUUUAAUUUUUUUCAAGAGAAACUCAACAUUUAAAAAGAAGCUAUGUCAAGGAAAUUGGAGGUCUUCUCAUGUUCACAGAAAGCUCCGUGUUUUAGGAGCCCCUGGGCGGUGGACUGAGGGUGUAGCACUGAAUAUUGAGAGGAGACUGGGCGACCCCUUCACCCACCGGCACCCUUCGCUGACCAUGUUCUGUUCCCAGACUUCACAGCACCAGCUCCAGGCAGCUGAGGAAACGUCUCCGUGUCUGCAUCCAGUCCCCAUCAUGCAAGCUCUACACCUGACCCUUAGCCAGUAUCUAAACAUCUACCUUUAAUUCCUCCUCCGUUGACACACGCAUGGUCAAGAGAAUGAAAUCCUUCAAGUAACACUGAAGAAGUUCCUGCUGCGGCUCUCCAUGGAGCUGGGCAAGAAACCUGCCCAGAGGAGUCUGCUGAAAGAUGUCCACGAACUUCUUGGGCAGUCCUGCAGAGAGGAAACCAAGGAGCGGCCUGGAGUGCGUCUAAGUCAUGGCGCUCCCCUGCCUCCAGGGGGCUCCGGAGUGAAGGGGAAUGGGGACGCCUUGUUGAAUGGGAGCUCGUAGACAAAGGGGUACCAACUGCCUGAUUUUGUAGGGAAUUGAAGGAAUAGUCACUGUCUAGACAUUUAGGAUAUUUUUCUUUUUCCUUUUUUUUGGAGAUGGAGUCUUACUCUGUUGCCCAGGCUGGAGUGCGGUGGGUAGCGUGAUCUCUGCUCACUGCAACCUCCGCCUCCCAGGUUCAAGUGAUUCUCCUGCCUCAGCCUACCAAGUAGCUGGGACUACAGGCAUGCACCACCACACCCAGCUAAUUUUUUGUAUUUUUAGUAGAGACGGGGUUUCACCAUGUUGGUCAGGCUGGUCUCGAACUCCUGACCUCAGGUGAUCUGCCGGCCUUGGCCUCCCAAGGUGUUGUGAACCACUGCGCCUGGCCUAGGAUAUUUUUCCAGUGGAAUAAAAUAAAGGAAGGCGGAAACAGUGUCAAAUUUAGGUCAGAAACAGCCAAGCUAGCCCCAAAGAGAAACAUCUAGAUAAGACUGAGUUGUAUGUUGCAUGGCUACAUUGUAUGUUGCAUGGCUACAGGUCACAGCAUGCUUCAGGAACCCCCGGGUCCAAGUAAAUUAGGAACAAGUGGGCUGCUCUUCAGGGGCUGGGGGUCACAGAGCAUGCAAGCCAGAAAGAUCUGGCUUCUAGUGGGCGGGGUGCAGCCCCUAAUUCGCAUGCUGUCAUAGAAAAGCAGGGUCAGUUGGGGUAUUGUCCUGAGAAAGGAAUAUGCUCAUGAGGAGAGAGACUGCUUUGAGAAAAAGUGGCAGAAUGGUAACCUAGAAAAGAAGGCCACCCUGAGUCUUCCAAAUGGUACGAUAAGUAAACGUGGAAAAGACUAUUGCAUGUAUGAAAGAUGGCUUUUGUAAAAGUGUUGCGUUGUCGUUGGUUUUUCUGGACUAGGGCAAAUCUUCUGGCAUCUGGCAGCAGAGCUCAGCACUGUGUCUGGGCUGUGACUCGGGAGACACAGCUGGGAGGUGCCUCCUGAUGGGGCACCUGGGAGUAGGGGAUGCUCCAGGCGCUCGUGCCUUCUGAGAACGCCUCUCCUGGGGGCAUCUUCCGAGUCCAGUGCCCCAGUCUGAGAAGGCCCAGAAUGGGAAUGACCAGCUGAUAGAGGCGACAGUCCUCCUCUUGCCAGAACACACCCCAUUUCGCCAUAUCCCUGGCCAUCACGGCACUAAAAACCAUCUCACAGGCUCCUGCUGCCAUAGGAUCGAAAGGUUUCUGGUCCCGCCGGGGCCUCUCACUCCUUCAGCAGAAACUUUAAAAUGACGCGGUGACGUAAAUUGGACGCUUACUGCACAAACAAAGUGUGAAAACUAAAAACUCCAAAAUUCACCUUGCAAUUCUAGCCACCCAUCUGCUUUUCACUGUCAGGCAAUCCCUUUGUGAUUCACCUGUGCUGAAUCUGACCUGUCUUGAGGUAGCCUCACCUUCUGCGUCUGUGAUGUACUGAGCCUGGACCCACAGCUCCUCCAGAUAGUCCUUGAUUUUCCAGCUGAAAGGGACGUUGUUGGAAGCGUUCUCGGAAAGGUUCAUGUGGUUCUGCACCACGAUGUAGGCCAUCUCACCUUUAUGUCUGCAAUAAGGUGAGGGAUGAUAAGAAGAGGGUUUGUGAGACGUCACUCAAAACACAAGAUAAGAUCUGCCACUGAUGCCAGCUCUUCUCAGACCUCAAAAACAAAGGGGCCAACAGGCCAGGCAGACGGCGCUGAUCUGUUUCACAGUACAGGGUUUCUGUUAUGACAGAACUAGGGAACUGUCUUAUGCAAUCUUUGUUUCACAGGCAAAACAAAAACAAACCAAGGCUGACAGGGGUCAAGUGUGUUGCCCAAAAUCUCGGGCAGAACCAAGUCUUCUGGUUCCUGAACCUGUCUGGCUUUGAUAACUUGUAACACAGAGCACAACUUGUUAGAGUCUUUGCUUCAUGAACAUCAGCAGCGCCUUGUCUUUUAAAUAAGUGUUUCCACUGGCAAUUCAAAUUCCAUUUCUUUCUUUCUCUCACUCUUUCUUUCUUUACUUUCUUUCUCUC